This 224-nucleotide ribosomal RNA is filed under the name uncultured bacterium. RNAcentral's name for it is "partial 16S ribosomal RNA". It matches the Rfam family "Bacterial small subunit ribosomal RNA", at positions 15 to 228 of the family's 1533-position model. The record is from RNAcentral.
GAUCAUGGCUCAGGACGAACGCUGGCGGCGUGCCUAAUACAUGCAAGUAGAACGCUGAAGAGAGGAGCUUGCUCUUCUUGGAUGAGUUGCGAACGGGUGAGUAACGCGUAGGUAACCUGCCUGGUAGCGGGGGAUAACUAUUGGAAACGAUAGCUAAUACCGCAUAAUAGUAGAUGUUGCAUGACAUUUGCUUAAAAGGUAGCAAUUGCAUCACUACCAGAUGG